UUUACUUGUGGGACUCAGAUAGUUUCACAAGAUUCAGGAAAUGUGAGAGGUGGGGUAGUGAAGUGACCAAGACUUUUCAGCCUGUAAAUAGACCAAGUAUGACUCAUAGAGGUGGGUUAAAGUGCAUUUGGGUACACACUGGAAUCAAUGAUAUUUAUGGCUCGAGCUCAAUGCCAAAGACAAGCCCCCCAGAACUGGGUUGCAGCCGUGUAUAUCACCCUAAAUCACCAGUUUUUACCUUCUCUGGCUCAUGGCAUCCCUUCCAGGGAUCACGUCACUGAUUUUGGCUGAAAUGGAUGCCCAUUUUCUGCUGAAGCUGCCUAUGAUUAUGCUAUGCUUAGCUCAGAACAGGUGCUCACAAACCGUUCAGAUGCUGAAUGAAUCCAAAUAUGUCCAGACUCAAUGGAACAAUUGAGAAGUUUCACAAAUCAGCUCAACCCCAUUGAUUGUGAACGGGGUCCUGGGGGAGUCUGUAACUCUCACCCUGAAGUUGCCUGUGGAAGAGAAGAUCACGUCCAUCACCUGGCUUCAUGAUGGAAAAUCUAUCGUCUUCACAGAACCAAAUGAAACGCUAAACCAGGUGACUGACCCAAAGCAGAAAGAUCGAUUGAAUGUCACCGAGUCCUACUCCUUGCUGCUCAGCAACCUGACGAUGGCAGGCACAGGACCUUACAGAGUCGUGAUAAGCACACCGACCUCUUCACUGUUUACCAAUCAUGAUCUGAGGAUCUUCAGUGUGUCAGGGCAUAGAGGACCAAUUCCCUACUGGUCAGGGUGAAUAAAGCCAUCUUCUAUGCCGUGGGGGGUUGGGGGCUAGAUGGCCCCUGGUAGAUUGUCCCUUGGUUUCACUCUUUUGGGGUGUCCAGAAUCUCUCUUAGGUAGAUCUUUCUUGUCCCUUUUCUUAUUCUUUUUUGUCCUCUUCAGUUGUCAGCAAAGUCUGGCUGAUGGCCCUGGUUGUGGCUGGUUAAAAAGCAUCACACAACUUGCUUCUUCCUCCAUUCAGCCCCUUAAGGGCUGGAAUUGGAAGAGUCAGAAAUCUUUUCUCCAAAGGGUUGUGGAUUCCUUGCUAUGUUCUCUCCCAUUUAUUCCCUGUGUCCUCUCCUCCUGGGAUGGCCUAGUAAGGCCCCUUAUUGCUAUUUUUAUCUUUUAAAACUAUUGCUUCAGGCAGAGUGACUGCCAAGGCCUCAAGUUCAAGUGGAUUCCUUCAUCUGUGAGCACAGCACCUGUAAUGUCACCUUGAGAUGUUCUGUGGAGGCAGGAGGAGAGAACACCAUGUAUGGGUGGACACCAAUGGGACCAAGGGCCAUUCUGCCCCAGGAAGGAUCAGUCCUCAGUGACUCCCAGAACUCUUGUGACUGAAUUGGGCCUAGACCUGCACACCUAUGAAUCCUGUUAGCAAGAGUAUCUCUAGCCUCAACCUUGUUAGGCAGCUUUGUGCAGGUAACUGACCCCUUCUAGCCUUUCUAGGGCUUCUGGGAAAUGCUUUGAGAAUCUUUAGAAAGAGCUGGAGGGAGUAGAUGCCAGCUCUCAGCACCUACCAACAACACCCCUUCCACUUAUACACACAUGCUCUGAUCCCUCUCACUCUACUUUCUCUCUUUCAGGUUCUGAGGCAGCUGCAGGCACUUUCUUCCCAGUGACAUGGAUCUUCCUAGGGAAGGGGCUUCUUCUCCUUAUAUUCCUGGGGGUACUAGGAACUUGGUACAUCCAGACACAGGUGCUCAGAAAACCUUUUAUGUCACCUCAGGGCAAUGAAAACUGCUAGUGCCCCAAGGAGAGCCAGCCUGUUUCCUAGAUGAGACCAUCACUCCUCCAUGGCUCAGUUAAGUCACAUUUACUGACGUGUAGUCCUUUCAAGGUGUGGUACUAUAGAUUGUCAAAGGUCAAUGGGAUUUUUAUCCCAUUCAUAUCUUGUCAUGUGUGAACCCACGUGCGUGCACAUUGCAUGAGAAUGAGGAAGUUUGAGCGAGAAAGGAUAAAAUAAACUUCAUAAAAACCCUAUGUCAUCUAUUCUAAGAAGAAUUUUCCCCCAUAAUUUAAGGUUUCGGAAAUCAAGCUUCCCAAGGCAUCUGCUGAGAACCUCCAGUUUAAGAACUACUUCUCAAAGAUUAGUUUUGACUGCUCAACAAUUUUCUAUAAAUGGAAUCGUAAGAGACCUGUUCACUCAAAAAUGUUUAAAAGCCUGAGUAAACACCCAGACAAAGAACAUAUCUCCUGCUACACACAGAUAUCUGUUAGCUGGCAAAGGAAGACUUCUCAACAGGGGGCUUGAGCUGAAAGGUGAAUUGCAGGACGCUUUCAAGAAAAUAGGAGGCCAGAGUUUGCUGGGUGCUUUGAAGAUGAAGAAUGGCUACAGAAACUAACCUUCUUAGCAGACAUUUUUGAUCCCACGAGCAAGGUGAAUUAAGUCUCUUUAAGGCCCUGAAGAAAAUAUAUGGACUUAGGUGACAAGAUUCUUGUAUUUAAAAGGAAAUUGAGUCUUUGGAAAAAUCACAUUGUAAAAGGAAAUUUCACACUGUUUUCACUGCUGCUUGGGAUUAGAAGAAACCAGCGAGUUUCAAGUCUUACUAAAAAUGACCUGGAAGUACUAGAGAAAACACUGAACAGUUUUUUUUCUUUUUUCCAAUCCAAAUGGAUGACUGGGUGAGGAACCAUUUUUUUCCCCCCCUGAAUCUUCUGUGCUUGGCUUUGAGAGAAGAGAAAGUACUUUGUGAUCCACAAUCUGAUUACACACAAAAGAUGAGAUGUACUUGUCUGACCCCUAGACAAGUUUUGGAUUUUGGCAAAAUAAGGGUAUCUUGCCAUUCAUAGAAAAACAAUAAACAUUUUGCUGCAGUAUUCAACUACUUACAUGGGUAAGAAUUUUUUUUCUGGUAUGGCAAGCAUCAAGAGGAGGGACAAAAAUGAUAUUAUUUUAUUUAUUUUUAAUUAAUUUUUAUUGGAGUAUAGUUGCUUUACAAUGUUGUGUUAGUUUCUGCUGUACAGCAAAGUGAAUCAGUUAUACAUAUAUCCACUCUUUUUUAGAUUUCCUUCUCAUUUAGGUCACCACAAAUCAAAAAAUGAUCUCAUUUCAUUUAAAAAUGAAAUCCAUUCAUGCUUAUCUCAAGUUCAACUGAGAAUUAAAUAUUUGUUUAGCAAAAAAAAAAAUCUAGCACAGAUUAGACAUUAAAGAAAUAAAUUUUACGCCUGAAACUAACACAAAACACAACGUUGUAAAUCAACUACAAUUAAAAAAAUUUUUUUUAAAAAGGAAAAUUUUUUCUGCAUUUGUGGUUUCAAAAAUAACACGUUCAUACAAAAAAACAAACAAACCAAUCAUGUAUAUAAUAAUUUUGUUACUGCUACAUUUGUGUUUGAGCCAGAUCAUGGCACUCGGUAAGAAAGUAUUUUUAAAUUCUUGUGUAAAUUUGUAUCUUAAACUAGAUUUUUAUUCAGAUUGUUUGGCUUAUGAUUUUAAUAGCUUAACUAUUCAAUAAGUGUUAAUAAAAUGUCAUGUUGUGGACGAUGUUAAUUAAAAUAAAUGUAUAGCUUUUAUUUAAACUAAAUCAACCAAGCCUACCUUUAGAAAAAUUGUC
Non-coding RNA from Delphinapterus leucas (beluga whale), 3575 nucleotides. Lineage: Eukaryota; Metazoa; Chordata; Mammalia; Artiodactyla; Monodontidae. The record is from RefSeq and is a predicted model, not a curated record.